Phasianus colchicus (ring-necked pheasant) is the source of this 796-nucleotide non-coding RNA. The record is from RefSeq and is a predicted model, not a curated record. NCBI's taxonomy places the organism in Eukaryota, Metazoa, Chordata, Aves, Galliformes, Phasianidae.
GGGGAGAGCAUCUCAGGGACCUGGGCUUCCUGAGGAGUGCUGCAAAGCUAGAGAUCCCCCUCAUCACUUGGGUCUGUUGUCUUGGUCUAAAGCCAUGAUGGAGUCCCUUCUGCCAUGGCCCCAGACGUCGGGUGAUGGGCACCGUGCAGAUGUGCCCCAAGGGCACCUGCAGCACCAGCUCCCUGCUCCCACACCUCCUUGCUGGCUGCGGUGCCGCGUGCCGCUCUCUGCAGCCGAAGCCCUUCUGACGGUCGGGGAAAAUGGAUUCAACCCACAAAAAUAUGUUGCAUGUUGCAAGUGGAAUUUGCCCUCUGGCCUUCGGCUCCCCCUCUCCCGUGACCAACAAGUGCUGUUUUCUCCUCUCUCCCCUUGCUGGUGAAAGCUGCCUUUAGCUCGCUGCGUGCGCUUGGUUUGGAGCCAGUGCCGAGUUUCCUUCACGCCUCCGUCUGCUGUGCAGCCAGAGAAAAAGCAGCGCGUGCCAUUUUCCUCUGCAAUGGGCAAAGACUGCUGAGUGUCCUCUCUGUCCCACCACGACUGGGUGGGGGGGCUCACUGGAUAAGCCUCAUUUUCUCUCAUUUCUUAGCACUUGUGGUGACGCAAAGUAAAGUAAUGAUGGUGGUGAUCAAGUCUUGGGCAUCAAAAUAUAAAGCAAUUGACAGUGAAAAUCGGGGACAGAAGGGUAGGCUGGGAUGAGAGCGAUAGGAGGAGAGAGAGUGGCUGUAAGUUCUACUGGCAGAGGCUCGGGUUGGGUAUUAGGAAGCAUUUCUUCUCCAAAGAGCAGUCAGGCAGUGGCACA